RNAcentral lists this ribosomal RNA (432 nucleotides) under uncultured bacterium. RNAcentral describes it as "partial 16S ribosomal RNA". It matches the Rfam family "Bacterial small subunit ribosomal RNA", at positions 29 to 506 of the family's 1533-position model. The record is from RNAcentral.
AACGAACGCUGGCGGCAUGCCUAACACAUGCAAGUCGAACGAGACCUUCGGGUCUAGUCGCGCACGGGUGCGUAACGCGUGGGAACCUGCCCUUAGGUUCGGAAUAACUCCCCGAAAGGGGUGCUAAUACCGGAUAAUGUCUUCGGACCAAAGAUUUAUCGCCUUUGGAUGGGCCCGCGUUGGAUUAGCUAGUUGGUAGGGUAAAAGCCUACCAAGGCGACGAUCCAUAGCUGGUCUGAGAGGAUGAUCAGCCACACUGGGACUGAGACACGGCCCAGACUCCUACGGGAGGCAGCAGUGGGGAAUAUUGGACAAUGGGCGAAAGCCUGAUCCAGCAAUGCCGCGUGAGUGAUGAAGGCCUUAGGGUUGUAAAGCUCUUUUACCCGGGAUGAUAAUGACAGUACCGGGAGAAUAAGCUCCGGCUAACUCCGU